RNAcentral lists this ribosomal RNA (460 nucleotides) under uncultured bacterium. RNAcentral describes it as "partial 16S ribosomal RNA". It matches the Rfam family "Bacterial small subunit ribosomal RNA", at positions 338 to 795 of the family's 1533-position model. The record is from RNAcentral.
CCUACGGGUGUCUGCAGUGAGGAAUAUUUGUCAAUGGGCGAGAGCCUGAACCAGCAAAGUCGCGUGAAGGAUGAAGGAUCUAUGGUUUUUAAACUUCUUUUAUAUGGGCAUAACGUGAGGAAAGUGUUCCUUUUUGUAUGUACCAUAUGAAUAAGCAUCGGCUAACUCCGUGCCAGCAGCCGCUGUAAUACGAAGGAUGCGAGCGUUAUCCGGAUUUAUUGGGUUUAAAGGGUGUGUAGGUGGUUAAUUAAGUCAGCGGUGAAAGUUUGUGGUUCAACCAUAAAAUUGCCGUUGAAACUGGUUGACUUGAGUAUAUGUGAGGUAGGCGGAAUGCGUGGUGUAGCGGUGAAAUGCAUAGAUAUCACGCAGAACUCCGAUUGCGAAGGCAGCUUACUAAACUAUAACUGACACUGAAGCACGAAAGCGUGGGGAUCAAACAGGAUUAGAUACCCGAGUAGUC